This 468-nucleotide ribosomal RNA is filed under the name uncultured bacterium. Its description in RNAcentral is "partial 16S ribosomal RNA". It matches the Rfam family "Bacterial small subunit ribosomal RNA", at positions 28 to 507 of the family's 1533-position model. The record is from RNAcentral.
GACGAACGCUGGCGGCGUGCUUAACACAUGCAAGUCGAACGGAAAGGCCCUGCUUUUGUGGGGUGCUCGAGUGGCGAACGGGUGAGUAACACGUGAGUAACCUGCCCUUGACUUUGGGAUAACUUCAGGAAACUGGGGCUAAUACCGGAUAGGAGCUCCUGCUGCAUGGUGGGGGUUGGAAAGUUUAGGCGGGUGGGGAUGGACUCGCGGCUUAUCAGCUUGUUGGUGGGGUAGUGGCUUACCAAGGCUUUGACGGGUAGCCGGCCUGUGAGGGUGACCGGCCACAUUGCGACUGCGAGACGGCCCAGACGCCUACGGGGGGCAGUAGUGGGGAGUAUUGCACAGUGGGCGGAAGCCUGAUGCAGAAGCGCCGCGUUCGGAAAGACGGCCUGCGGGGUGUGAACCGCUUUCGCCUGUGACGAAGCGUGAGUGACGGUAAUGGGUGAAGAAGCACCGGCUAACUACGUG